GAGUAAGGGUGUUUGGAGGAGAGAGAGGGGGAGUAAGGGUGUUUGGAGGAGAGAGAGGGGGAGUAAGGGUGUUGGGAGGAGAGAGAGGGGGAGUAAGGGUGUUUGGAGGAGAGAGAGGGGGGAUAAGGGUGUUUGGAGGAGAGAGAGGGGGAGUAAGGGUGUUUGGAGGAGAGAGAGGGGGAGUAAGGGUGUUUGGAGGAGAGAGAGGGGGAGUAAGGGUGUUGGGAGGAGAGAGAGGGGGAGUAAGGGUGUUUGGAGGAGAGAGGGGGGGAGUAAAGG
Molecule: long non-coding RNA, 279 nt
Organism: Oncorhynchus tshawytscha (Chinook salmon)
Lineage: Eukaryota; Metazoa; Chordata; Actinopteri; Salmoniformes; Salmonidae
Source: Ensembl